UCUGUGCAAUUUUCCACAUGAACAUUUUGAUCUUUGGUAAUAGUUUAGGAGACCAAAUAUGCUUGUUCCAGCUCCAUUCAUCAGGUUCAUUGUCCAAGAGUAAUGACGUCGAUUGAAAUUUUGUUGCUUGUAGGGCUAGGUAGCCUGACUUUGCUGAAUACGCUCUUGAGCUGUGGAAACUCCAGACGUGAGAGUCUGGUGCACCGAGCUUGCUUGGUCGUAGCGUUAAAAUAUGGUCUGCUAGCUCCGGUAAGAGGUUCUUGACUCUUGCUAGGUUCCACUCCUUUGUUUCCCGAGAUAGAAGAUCAAAGACUAAGAGAUCUUGAUCUUGUAGGAACACAGGUCCCUGAGGUCUCAGAUUUUUCUCUGGGUU
Molecule: long non-coding RNA, 373 nt
Filed under: Brassica napus (rape)
Lineage: Eukaryota; Viridiplantae; Streptophyta; Magnoliopsida; Brassicales; Brassicaceae
Description: long non-coding RNA (BNAP_LNC013696)
Source: RNAcentral